GAUGAACGCUAGCUACAGGCUUAACACAUGCAAGUCGAGGGGAAACGACAGAGGAAGCUUGCUUCCGUUUGGGCGUCGACCGGCGCACGGGUGAGUAACGCGUAUCCAACCUUCCCGCAAGUAAGGGAUAACCCGUAGAAAUGCGGCCUAAUACCUUANGUUUUCCUUAGAUGGCAUCUGAUGAGGAACAAAGAUCCGUCGCUUGCGGAUGGGGAUGCGUCUGAUUAGUUAGUCGGCGGGGUAACGGCCCACCGAGACGACGAUCAGUAGGGGUUCUGAGAGGAAAGUCCCCCACAUUGGAACUGAGACACGGUCCAAACUCCUACGGGAGGCAGCAGUGAGGAAUAUUGGUCAAUGGGCGAGAGCCUGAACCAGCCAAGUAGCGUGCAGGAUGACGGCCCUAUGGGUUGUAAACUGCUUUUAUAAGGGAAUAAAGUGGGGCUCGUGAGCUCUUUUGCAUGUACCUUAUGAAUAAGGACCGGCUAAUUCCGUG
RNAcentral lists this ribosomal RNA (493 nucleotides) under uncultured bacterium. RNAcentral describes it as "bacterial SSU rRNA". It matches the Rfam family "Bacterial small subunit ribosomal RNA", at positions 28 to 507 of the family's 1533-position model. The record is from RNAcentral.